UACGAAGGGGGCUAGCGUUGUUCGGAAUCACUGGGCGUAAAGCGCACGCAGGCGGAUCGUUAAGUCAGGGGUGAAAUGCCGAGGCUCAACCUCGGAACUGCCUUUGAUACUGGCGAUCUUAGAGUCCGGGAGAGGUGAGUGGAACUCCGAGUGUAGAGGUGAAAUUCGUAGAUAUUCGCAAGAACACCAGUGGCGAAGGCGGCUCACUGGCCCGAUACUGACGCUGAGGCACGAAAGCGUGGGGAGCAAACAGG
RNAcentral lists this ribosomal RNA (254 nucleotides) under uncultured bacterium. RNAcentral describes it as "partial 16S ribosomal RNA". It matches the Rfam family "Bacterial small subunit ribosomal RNA", at positions 524 to 776 of the family's 1533-position model. The record is from RNAcentral.